This 624-nucleotide ribosomal RNA is filed under the name Triticum aestivum (bread wheat). Its description in RNAcentral is "partial small subunit ribosomal RNA". Lineage: Eukaryota; Viridiplantae; Streptophyta; Magnoliopsida; Poales; Poaceae. The record is from RNAcentral.
AUGGCUCGCCGACUCUGCCGUCUCCCUCGCCUCCUCCUCCCCCUCGCCGCCGCCCCCAAGCACCAGCCCCGCCUCCCCGCCAUCCCCGCCCUAAACCCUAGCCCCGCCGCCCGCCUCCGUCCCUCCUCCUCCCCGACGCCGACGCCCUCGCUCCCCGCCUUCCCCCGCCUCUUCUCCUCGUCGUCCGCAGGUACGCCCGAAACGCCUCCUCCUCCCCGCCGACCCCCCGCUUCCCCGCGGCCCUGGACCGGCGCUGACAGUUUCCCGGCUCCGGCAGGCGAUUCCAGCAUGGUGGUCGUAGGCUCCGCGGAUUCCUACGAGGACAUCCACGCCAAGGUGCAAGCUGAGAAGCUCCCCGCCGUCUUCUACUACACGGCGGUCUGGUGCGGGCCGUGCCGGGCGAUGGCACCUGUGAUUGAGAAGAUGAGCAGGCAGUACCCCAAGAUACCUGUCUACAAAGUCGACAUCGACAUGGAGGGACUUGGGACCAGACUUAGUAACCUGAAAAUAUUCUCUAUCCCAACUUUCCACUUCUACCACAAAGGCGAGAAGAGCAGCGAAGUGGUUGGUGCUGACGUGAAGAAGCUUGAAGCUGCCAUGGAAAGUCUUCACAAGCAACAGUGA